CGCUGUUGUCAGGGAGGGAAACCUCCGUUCGCGGGCUGUCAGGGAGCAGAAACAGACAUCAUGGAUGUGGAGAUGGCGGAGACUGAGUGUAAGCAGAAACCCACAGAAACCGGACAGAAGGCGGACACGGAGGCCAGAGAGUCCUCGUCUAAAGGCUCCGGGAGCGCUUACGAGCUACCGUGGGUGGAGAAAUACCGGCCGCUGAAGCUGAACGAGAUUGUGGGAAACGAGGAGACGGUGAGCAGGCUGGAGGUCUUCGCCAGAGAGGGAAACGUCCCCAACAUAAUCAUCGCAGGUCCUCCUGGCACUGGAAAGACCACCAGCAUCUUGUGUUUGGCCCGCGCUCUGCUGGGAACCUCGAUGAAGGACGCUGUGCUGGAGCUGAACGCCUCCAACGACAGGGGCAUCGACGUGGUGAGGAACAAGAUCAAGAUGUUUGCUCAGCAGAAGGUCACACUGCCGAAAGGACGGCACAAGAUCAUCAUUCUGGACGAAGCCGACAGCAUGACAGACGGAGCUCAGCAGGCACUGAGGAGGAUCAUGGAGAUCUACUCGAAGACGACGCGCUUCGCUCUCGCCUGCAACGCCUCCGAUAAGAUCAUCGAGCCGAUCCAGUCCCGCUGCGCCGUGCUGCGCUACUCCAAACUGACCGACGGCCAGAUCCUCGUCCGGCUGCAGGAAGUGGUGGAGAAAGAGCACCUCUCAGUGUCCGACGAUGGACUGGAAGCCAUCAUCUUCACUGCGCAGGGAGACAUGAGACAGGCGCUGAACAAUCUGCAGUCCACUCACUCCGGCUUUGGCUACAUCAACAGCGAGAACGUGUUUAAGGUGUGCGACGAGCCCCACCCCCUGAUGGUGAAAAGCAUGCUGGGACACUGCGUGGACGGGAACAUCGACGAGGCCUACAAAGUCGUGGAGCAGCUGUGGGCGCUGGGCUACUCUCCAGAGGACAUCAUCGGGAACAUCUUCAGGGUCUGUAAGACCUACCAGAUGGCCGAGUACCUGAAGCUGGAGUUCAUCAAGCUUCCUGUCACGCGGAGAAACAGGAAGGACGAUGCUGCUGUCUGCUGGGUUGCUGCCUUGGGCGGACGGUGGCCACUUGCGUACAUCUGAGCGCUCAGGAAAUAUGAAUAAUAACUGAGGAGCAGUUCUACUGAUGGCUACUGAUUAAAGGAAAGCUUAAACAAAGUGCUGAACAUCAUUGGUGGACCGCUGCAGUAGUACCACAGGACAGGCUGACAGAGACGCCCUCCCCGGUGCCGUUACAGAUCUGGAUGUUUUAGGUUUUCGUAGUGGGGAAUUUUCCUGAACUUUCUGAGCUCAGGCACCCAAACAUUGAUUUUUACCUGGAUCCACAGCCACCUCCUUCUCCGGAAACUCAUUCCAGCUGCACGCUUCCAUGAUUUAUUUAUGUUGUCCUGUUCUGAGGUGAGGACGGGAACAGAUCGAGGAGUGAAACAGCUUCACCGUGACCGACCGUCUGCAUCCAUCAGUCCCACUCAUCAGCUCGUGAGCACUUUAUGGUGUCGUUUCGGUCUGCCGGAGCAUGAAGUCGAGCACUGCAGCAGCUUUAAGCUUCAAGCUACUGGAGAUCGGCUACACCCACAUGCGGAUAGCUGAAGGUGUGAACUCCCUGCUGCAGAUGGCUGGUCUGCUCGCACGGCUCUGCAGCAAGACGGCGCCCGCCGCUGCCAGCUAA
Molecule: RNA transcript, 1699 nt
Organism: Pelmatolapia mariae (spotted tilapia)
Lineage: Eukaryota; Metazoa; Chordata; Actinopteri; Cichliformes; Cichlidae
Gene: rfc2
Gene name: replication factor C (activator 1) 2
Exons: 7
Source: RefSeq, a predicted model, not a curated record